RNAcentral lists this ribosomal RNA (449 nucleotides) under uncultured bacterium. Its description in RNAcentral is "partial 16S ribosomal RNA". It matches the Rfam family "Bacterial small subunit ribosomal RNA", at positions 338 to 795 of the family's 1533-position model. The record is from RNAcentral.
CCUACGGGUGGCUGCAGUGGGGAAUAUUGGACAAUGGGCGCAAGCCUGAUCCAGCAAUACCGCGUGUGUGAAGAAGGCCUUAGGGUUGUAAAGCACUUUCAAUGGGGAGGAAAACCUACCGGUCAAUACCCGGUAGCUUGACAUUACCUGUAGAAGAAGCACCGGCUAACUCCGUGCCAGCAGCCGCGGUAAUACGGAGGGUGCAAGCGUUACUUGGAGUUACUGGGCGUAAAGCGUUAAGAGGCGGUUCCAAGCCCCGGGCUUAAGCUGGGAACUGCAUUUGAAACUGGCGGACUAGAGUUGAGUAGAGGGGAGUGGAAUUUCAGGUGUAGCGGUGAAAUGCGUAGAUAUCUGAAGGAACACCAGUGGCGAAGGCGACUCCCUGGACUCAAACUGACGCUGAGGUACGAAAGCGUGGGUAGCAAACAGGAUUAGAUACCCCGGUAGUC